This 1373-nucleotide ribosomal RNA is filed under the name uncultured bacterium. RNAcentral describes it as "bacterial SSU rRNA". It matches the Rfam family "Bacterial small subunit ribosomal RNA", at positions 28 to 1381 of the family's 1533-position model. The record is from RNAcentral.
GAUGAACGCUGGCGGCAUGCCUAAUACAUGCAAGUCGAGCGAACAGAUAAGGAGCUUGCUCCUUUGACGUUAGCGGCGGACGGGUGAGUAACACGUGGAUAACCUACCUAUAAGACUGGGAUAACUUCGGGAAACCGGAGCUAAUACCGGAUAACAUAUUGAACCGCAUGGUUCAAUAGUGAAAGGCGGCUUUGCUGUCACUUAUAGAUGGAUCCGCGCCGUAUUAGCUAGUUGGUAAGGUAACGGCUUACCAAGGCAACGAUACGUAGCCGACCUGAGAGGGUGAUCGGCCACACUGGAACUGAGACACGGUCCAGACUCCUACGGGAGGCAGCAGUAGGGAAUCUUCCGCAAUGGGCGAAAGCCUGACGGAGCAACGCCGCGUGAGUGAUGAAGGUCUUCGGAUCGUAAAACUCUGUUAUCAGGGAAGAACAAAUGUGUAAGUAACUGUGCACAUCUUGACGGUACCUGAUCAGAAAGCCACGGCUAACUACGUGCCAGCAGCCGCGGUAAUACGUAGGUGGCAAGCGUUAUCCGGAAUUAUUGGGCGUAAAGCGCGCGUAGGCGGUUUUUUAAGUCUGAUGUGAAAGCCCACGGGCUCAACCGUGGAGGGUCAUUGGAAACUGGAAAACUUGAGUGCAGAAGAGGAAAGUGGAAUUCCAUGUGUAGCGGUGAAAUGCGCAGAGAUAUGGAGGAACACCAGUGGCGAAGGCGACUUUCUGGUCUGUAACUGACGCUGAUGUGCGAAAGCGUGGGGAUCAAACAGGAUUAGAUACCCUGGUAGUCCACGCCGUAAACGAUGAGUGCUAAGUGUUAGGGGGUUUCCGCCCCUUAGUGCUGCAGCUAACGCAUUAAGCACUCCGCCUGGGGAGUACGACCGCAAGGUUGAAACUCAAAGGAAUUGACGGGGACCCGCACAAGCGGUGGAGCAUGUGGUUUAAUUCGAAGCAACGCGAAGAACCUUACCAAAUCUUGACAUCCUUUGACCGCUCUAGAGAUAGAGUCUUCCCCUUCGGGGGACAAAGUGACAGGUGGUGCAUGGUUGUCGUCAGCUCGUGUCGUGAGAUGUUGGGUUAAGUCCCGCAACGAGCGCAACCCUUAAGCUUAGUUGCCAUCAUUAAGUUGGGCACUCUAAGUUGACUGCCGGUGACAAACCGGAGGAAGGUGGGGAUGACGUCAAAUCAUCAUACCCCUUAUAAUUUGGGCUACACACGUGCUACAAUGGACAAUACAAAGGGCAGCUAAACCGCGAGGUCAAGCAAAUCCCAUAAAGUUGUUCUCAGUUCGGAUUGUAGUCUGCAACUCGACUACAUGAAGCUGGAAUCGCUAGUAAUCGUAGAUCAGCAUGCUACGGUGAAUACGUUCCCGGGUCU